AUCUCUUCUGGUCUUUUGGCUAAGAUCAAGUGUAGUUAGUAUCUGUUCUCAUCAGUUUAAAAAUAUUAUUCCCAAAGCUGAACAUUAAAAUGGCAACAUCUGAGAUCUUUAAGCAUAGACUAAACUGUAAUUUCUUAAUGGAAGCCUCCCUGAAAUGCAAUUACUGGGGAAGGAUACUUGUUAUUAUUGAACAUCUGGCAAUAUUAUU
This is a small nuclear RNA of Ursus thibetanus thibetanus, 208 nucleotides long. Its record names the gene U2. It matches the Rfam family "U2 spliceosomal RNA". From Rfam's summary of the family: U2 is a small nuclear RNA (snRNA) component of the spliceosome (involved in pre-mRNA splicing). Complementary binding between U2 snRNA (in an area lying towards the 5' end but 3' to hairpin I) and the branchpoint sequence (BPS) of the intron results the bulging out of an unpaired adenosine, on the BPS, which initiates a nucleophilic attack at the intronic 5' splice site, thus starting the first of two transesterification reactions that mediate splicing. The record is from Ensembl. NCBI's taxonomy places the organism in Eukaryota, Metazoa, Chordata, Mammalia, Carnivora, Ursidae.